UGACACUCGAGAAUAAAAUACGAUCUGUGAGUUACAUCAAAAUUUUCUGUUCCUGCAAUUUCGAAGAAGCCUAUGAAAUUUGUUCAGAGUUUCUGUCGUUAGGCUGAAAGUCUUAAAUUUUGUAGUAUAAUUAAACUGUACUUUGUUUAUGCUAGUAGCGAAUUGGAAGUUUAUAAAAUUUAUGAUAGAGAUGUAUUCAUUUUUGGCAAAACUGUAGAUUUAUAUGAAAUAUAGAGCCGUAAAAUAAAUUUUGAAAGAUGGAUGAUGAUCCAAUGGAAGGCACAUCUGAACUUUUCGCUUCUGUUUUGAGUGAUGUUACUCCUGAGGAAUGGGAAAACUAUAAACAAAUGAAUAAGUAUGGAAAUUAUAUAGUUGAUUCUGCGAGCGAUGAUGACAGUUGCAUGUCUGAUAGAUCUGUUUCACCAUGUAGAGAGGAAAUGAUAGCCAAUGUUGAACUUGUUGAAGAUGAAGAAGCUGAAGUUGCUAGUGAAGCUUCAGAUGAUGAAGAAAAUGACAGUGGCCAAACAGCAUGGGGUUGUGAUGCUGCUGUUAAAUAUGUUAAUGGCGAAAUUACGUUUUCUGAAUUAAAUGAUAUUAUGGAAAAUAAAAAACCUAACCGCCACCCAAGGAAAAAAAGGCGUACAGAAAGAGAGCCAAAAGAACCAAGGCAAGAGUCCCAGAUAGAAAAAGAACAUAGAGAAUAUGAAAUGGAGCUAAAAAAUAAGAAAAAGAAAGGACGCAGGAAAAUGAGUCAUUUACCAAAAGAAUUAGAAGGUUUAAUGGGAGCCGCCCAUGUAAAGUUUGCUCAAGGGGAAACAGAAGAUGCUAUUAAAAUGUGCAUGGAGCUUAUUCGAUUGGCACCAACUGCUCAAGAACCCUUCCAGACUUUAGGUGUUAUAUAUGAUGCAACAGGGGAACCUAGGAAAUCAUUACAGUGCUAUUUGGUUGCAGCAUGCUUGGACCCUUCUGAUACCGAAGAAUGGAUACGACUAGCAGAUCUUUCACUAGAGCAAAAUAAAAUUGCUCAAGCUAUCAGCUGUUAUAGUUAUGCAAUUCGUAAUGAGCCAGAUAAUGUACCAUUUCUGUGGGAAAGAUGCAAUUUAUAUGAACGAAUAGGAGAUCGAAAAAAAGCUUUGGCUGGAUAUGAACAAAUUUUGAAGCAUUUGAGUGCCCCUGAAGCUGGACAGAAAUGUGUAGAAAUGUCAAGAGAGAUUGCAAAGGUUCAUUAUGAGAAUACUGACUACAUAAAUGCAAUUAAAGUGUUAGAAAUGGCUUUUACUAAGUUCCCUUCACUGAUUACUUCAGAAGAUGUGAAUUUUCUUCUGGAGUUACAACUGAUUCAAAAAUUUUACACAUCAGCCAUAAAGAAUUUUGUUCAACAUUGUGGUGUCAAGCUUCAGAUGCCUGACAGAGAAAUUGAUACACCUGAUGAACUAGAGACUUUCACAGAUGAUGAUUUUAAAGUUGUUUUAAACUGUUAUGUUCCAGAAGUUCUUCCUGUUGAUCUAGCUGUAAAAGUCUUGCUAUGUUUAAUACAUUUGCAGUCUCUAACUGCAGUUCAACCUCUUUUGGAAGCUCUUAUUCAAGAAAACCCAGAAGAUUUUGGAGACUUAUAUUUAGAUGUUGCAGAAGCUUUCAUGGAGAUAAAGGAAUAUGAGUUUGCAAAAACUUUACUUUCUAAGUUGUUAAAAACAGAUAACUAUAAUCUGCCAGCAGUGUGGAUGAAAUAUGCAGACUGUUUGCAUGCUUUAUCUCAUGUAGAAGAAGCCAUGAGUGCAUAUCAAAAAGUUAUUGAAAUGGCUCCCACUUAUCAGGAAGCUCGUCUUGCUUUAUCUAAUAUUCUUCUUAAAAAAGGAAAAAUAGCAGAAGCUGCAAGCAUCUUAAAACAAGAGUAUGAAGAAGGAAAGGAAGUAACAACCCUAGGUAUUGAUGCUCUAUAUCAAAGGUGUAGAUUGUUACAGGCAGAAAAAAGAUGGGAUGAAUUCAUCCAGGCUGCAGUUUUACUUCAAUACAGCCACUGUUAUCUAUUAGAAACUGAAGAAGAAUAUAGUGCUGUUAUGGCCAACCAGACAUCUAAAAGAAGAAAUGAAGCUCUAAGAGAUUUAAAAGCUCAGUCUAAGAAACCAGCACCUGAAUUCAUUGGAAGCAAAAUAUCUUUGUCUGACAUGUGGGAUAUUUUUAAAAUAGUAUCAAAUAAACUCUUGGAACAAAAGCGUUUUGAAGAACUUCAAUGUUUAUCUCUUGCAGCAUUAACAUCUACUAUGUUUAUGAAGAAUCCAGAGAUGGCAAAAGAUUGCGAAUUCCAAGCUCUAUUGAGUUGUUUCUUCAACAAUAGUCACUAUUAUGCUUACCUGUUAGUCAAAGAUCUUGUGAUUAAGAAUAUAAAUAAUCCAAAGGCUUGGAACCUGUUUUGUUUGAUCAUUACACGAAGCCAGGAAAGUAGACAUAAUCGUUUCUGUCUUCGUCUUAUGAUGAAGCAUCAAGAUCAUUUGGCUCUUGGAUUUCUAAAUGGACACAAUGCUAUGAUAUCUGGCACUUAUAAACAUGCUUUGGGUGAAUAUAUGUGCAUUCUCAAGGAACGACCAAAUGAUCCAUUUGCAACAUUUUGUGUUGGUUAUACUUUUAUACAUAUGGCUUGCCAAAAAUUUGCCACUAAGCGCCAUUUUCUUGCUCUUCAGUUCACGCAAUAACUGGUUUGUCUGUGCAUAAUCGUCUGUAAUAGUUGAAGUGCUGUCUUUUGUUGUUUUGUCUGAAUCCAACGUUUCUAUGAUGUCCACCACAAUAUCAUCUCCUAUCUGUUCACAGAAUCCCAACUGUAAUCUUCAUCGUCUGUGCUCUCAAAGCUUGGAAAGGGAUUUGUUUUCCUGUCUCAUUAUUUGAAAUUAAAAGGUGAAUGUCAAGAGGCAUAUUAUAAUAUUGGAAGAGCUCUACAUCAGUUAGGUAUGAAAGAUAUGGCUAUUCAGUAUUA
Molecule: unclassified non-coding RNA, 2968 nt
Filed under: Stegodyphus dumicola
Lineage: Eukaryota; Metazoa; Arthropoda; Arachnida; Araneae; Eresidae
Description: general transcription factor 3C polypeptide 3-like, transcript variant X1
Source: RNAcentral